Molecule: ribosomal RNA, 269 nt
Filed under: uncultured bacterium
Lineage: Bacteria
Description: partial 16S ribosomal RNA
Rfam family: Bacterial small subunit ribosomal RNA
Source: RNAcentral
CGGCGACCGGCGCACGGGUGAGUAACACGUAUGCGACCUGCCCGUAGCAGGGGGAUAAGCGGAAGAAAUUCCGUCUAAUACCGCGUAAUAUCUUUCGGGGGCAUCCCUGAGGGAUUAAAGGAAGUGAUUCCGGCUACGGAUGGGCAUGCGGCGCAUUAGCUAGUCGGCGGGGUAACGGCCCACCGAGGCGACGAUGCGUAGGGGUUCUGAGAGGAAGGUCCCCCACACUGGUACUGAGACACGGACCAGACUCCUACGGGAGGCAGCAG